GACGAACGCUGGCGGCGUGCCUAAUACAUGCAAGUUGAGCGCUGAAGGUUGGUACUUGUACCGACUGGAUGAGCAGCGAACGGGUGAGUAACGCGUGGGGAAUCUGCCUUUGAGCGGGGGACAACAUUUGGAAACGAAUGCUAAUACCGCAUAAAAACUUUAAACACAAGUUUUAAGUUUGAAAGAUGCAAUUGCAUCACUCAAAGAUGAUCCCGCGUUGUAUUAGCUAGUUGGUGAGGUAAAGGCUCACCAAGGCGAUGAUACAUAGCCGACCUGAGAGGGUGGUCGGCCACAUUGGGACUGAGACACGGCCCAAACUCCUACGGGAGGCAGCAGUAGGGAAUCUUCGGCAAUGGACGAAAGUCUGACCGAGCAACGCCGCGUGAGUGAAGAAGGUUUUCGGAUCGUAAAACUCUGUUGGUAGAGAAGAACGUUGGUGAGAGUGGAAAGCUCAUCAAGUGACGGUAACUACCCAGAAAGGGACGGCUAACUACGUG
Molecule: ribosomal RNA, 497 nt
Filed under: uncultured bacterium
Lineage: Bacteria
Description: partial 16S ribosomal RNA
Rfam family: Bacterial small subunit ribosomal RNA
Source: RNAcentral